This 279-nucleotide ribosomal RNA is filed under the name uncultured bacterium. Its description in RNAcentral is "partial 16S ribosomal RNA". It matches the Rfam family "Bacterial small subunit ribosomal RNA", at positions 506 to 784 of the family's 1533-position model. The record is from RNAcentral.
UGCCAGCCGCCGCGGUAAGACAGAGGGUGCAAGCGUUAAUCGGAAUUACUGGGCGUAAAGCGCACGUAGGCGGGACGUUAAGUCAGCUGUGAAAGCCCUGGGCUUAACCUAGGAAUAGCAGUUGAUACUGGCGUUCUAGAGUAUGGUAGAGGAAGGUGGAAUUCCCGGUGUAGCAGUGAAAUGCGUAGAUAUCGGGAGGAACAUCAGUGGCGAAGGCGGCCUUCUGGGCCAAUACUGACGCUGAGGUGCGAAAGCGUGGGUAGCGAACAGGAUUAGAUA